GCGCCCGUAGCUCAGCAGGAUAGAGCGACCGCCUCCUAAGCGGUAGGCCGUGGGUUCGAAUCCCGCCGGGCGUGCCA
RNAcentral lists this transfer RNA (77 nucleotides) under Clostridiales bacterium. RNAcentral describes it as "tRNA-Arg". It matches the Rfam family "tRNA". Rfam says of the family: Transfer RNA (tRNA) molecules are approximately 80 nucleotides in length. Their secondary structure includes four short double-helical elements and three loops (D, anti-codon, and T loops). Further hydrogen bonds mediate the characteristic L-shaped molecular structure. tRNAs have two regions of fundamental functional importance: the anti-codon, which is responsible for specific mRNA codon recognition, and the 3' end, to which the tRNAs corresponding amino acid is attached (by aminoacyl-tRNA synthetases). tRNAs cope with the degeneracy of the genetic code in two manners: having more than one tRNA (with a specific anti-codon) for a particular amino acid; and 'wobble' base-pairing, i.e. permitting non-standard base-pairing at the 3rd anti-codon position. Lineage: Bacteria; Bacillati; Bacillota; Clostridia; Eubacteriales. The record is from RNAcentral.